This 253-nucleotide ribosomal RNA is filed under the name uncultured bacterium. RNAcentral's name for it is "partial 16S ribosomal RNA". It matches the Rfam family "Bacterial small subunit ribosomal RNA", at positions 524 to 776 of the family's 1533-position model. The record is from RNAcentral.
UACGUAGGGGGCAAGCGUUGUCCGGAUUUAUUGGGCGUAAAGAGCGUGUAGGCGGCCGCACAAGUCCGUUGUGAAAACUGGAGGCUUAACCUUCAGACGUCGAUGGAAACCGUGCGGCUAGAGUCCGGAAGAGGAGAGUGGAAUUCCUGGUGUAGCGGUGAAAUGCGCAGAUAUCAGGAAGAACACCCGUGGCGAAGGCGGCUCUCUGGGACGGUACUGACGCUGAGACGCGAAAGCGUGGGGAGCGAACAGG